AUGAAAUGCGUGGUGACGUUCGCGUCGCUACACCCUUUUCGAUCUUAACACCUGUGCAUCGUGGUGCGCGAAGGAUGAGCAUGCGCGCACGCGCACGCUCGCCCUUUGAGCCCACAACCUUUCACACAAACUCUAUAAGUUCUAGAAAGUAAAAAAAAAACAUAACAAUGA
RNAcentral lists this unclassified non-coding RNA (171 nucleotides) under uncultured fungus. RNAcentral's name for it is "sequence contains ITS1, 5.8S rRNA gene". The record is from RNAcentral. Lineage: Eukaryota; Fungi.